GCUACGGGUGGCUGCAGUGGGGAAUAUUGGACAAUGGGCGAAAGCCUGAUCCAGCCAUGCCGCGUGUGUGAAGAAGGCCUUCGGGUUGUAAAGCACUUUCAGUGGGGAAGAAAGCCUUGGGGCUAAUACCCUCGAGGAAGGACAUCACCCACAGAAGAAGCACCGGCUAACUCCGUGCCAGCAGCCGCGGUAAUACGGAGGGUGCGAGCGUUAAUCGGAAUUACUGGGCGUAAAGCGCGCGUAGGCGGUCUGAUAAGCCGGUUGUGAAAGCCCCGGGCUCAACCUGGGAACGGCAUCCGGAACUGUCAGGCUAGAGUGCAGGAGAGGAAGGUAGAAUUCCCGGUGUAGCGGUGAAAUGCGUAGAGAUCGGGAGGAAUACCAGUGGCGAAGGCGGCCUUCUGGACUGACACUGACGCUGAGGUGCGAAAGCGUGGGUAGCAAACAGGAUUAGAUACCCGUGUAGUC
This 465-nucleotide ribosomal RNA is filed under the name Vreelandella stevensii. RNAcentral's name for it is "partial 16S ribosomal RNA". It matches the Rfam family "Bacterial small subunit ribosomal RNA", at positions 338 to 795 of the family's 1533-position model. Lineage: Bacteria; Pseudomonadati; Pseudomonadota; Gammaproteobacteria; Oceanospirillales; Halomonadaceae. The record is from RNAcentral.